RNAcentral lists this ribosomal RNA (245 nucleotides) under Alexandrium margalefii. RNAcentral describes it as "partial Bacterial large subunit ribosomal RNA". It matches the Rfam family "Bacterial large subunit ribosomal RNA", at positions 823 to 1066 of the family's 2925-position model. Lineage: Eukaryota; Dinophyceae; Gonyaulacales; Pyrocystaceae. The record is from RNAcentral.
GAAAUUCCAAUCGAACCUGGAGAUAGCUGGUUCUCUCCGAAAUAGCUUUAGGGCUAGCCUCGCAUGAUGAUUACUGGAGGUAGAGCACUGUUUGGACUAGGGGCCCCCCUCGGGUUACCGAAUUCAGACAAACUCCGAAUGCCAGAUAAUUUAAUGCGGGAGUCAGACUGCGGGUGAUAAGGUCCGUAGUCGAGAGGGAAACAGCCCAGACCACCAGCUAAGGUCCCAAAAUAUAUGUUAAGUGG